UGAUAAGAUAAGAAAAAGCAAUUGGAAGAAUAAAGAAAACUAAAACUCAUUAUUUGUGGCUAAUUAUUUAUAUAAUUACCAAACAAUAUAAACAAAUUAUUAUUAAAGAUAAUAAAAAAUACACAAACUAAUCAAACUAUUUAAAGAAAAAAGUGAGGCAAUGAUGAACAUGGGAUUUAGUGGGAAGGCAGUAGGUGGGAGAAGGGGCUACAUGGCCAGAUGUGAGUUGUUAUCAUAGCACUAGCUUCUGUUUUGAGUGGUGAUUUCAUGAAUAUUUAUUACAUUAUUAAAAAUACCAACUAAGUAAUCAACCAACUAAAUAAAAGUGGGCUAAGCCUGGACCAAUGAUGAAUGUGUCAUAUGAAUUAAAAAUGAUAAUUAAUCUAAUUGUGUGUACCUUUGGCACAAAUAAAAAAAUUAAUUGUAUCCAUAAUCACCAUGGGUUUAGUACUUUACAAUUUAUGAAAUGUUUUCACUUCCAUUCCUUGUCUUGACAAUCAUUUGAAAUAUCUCAUUUGAUUUUCAAGAUGACCCUGUGACAUAGAACUUUAUCCUUAUUUUCCAGUAAGUACAGGGAUCAAGGCAUAUUAAAUAAGUGUCACAUUGUUCAUACAUAGUAUUAGAACUUGAAGAGUCAUGCUAAACUUCAUGCCAAAUAUUAUGUAUAGCAAUGUUUUCCAAACUGUUGAGUUAAAAGCCUAAGUCUAAAAUCAUUCACUGUAUUUGGAUGUUGUUUGAUUACCUUGCUAUCAUUUUAUAUACUGCCUUUAUCUUUCAAACAAAUUCAUGUGAAUAAGAGCUGUCCAUAUGUUCGAAAAUUAAAUAAAUAGAUAUUUGAAAUAUCAACUGAUAUUUCAAAUUGAAAUUUAGCUGUUCAGAAUGUGAAAUUGUACAGUUUUUAAUUCUGAUUCAACCCUUAGCCAUUAUUAGUUCCAUUGUCUUACUAGUUACUAAAAUCAGGCAUGCAAGUAGCCUCAAAAAGCAGACUCCUCCCCACUCCAUAUGCUUGAUAACAGACCAGCUGGAAACCAAUUAACAUGCAUGGCGAUGUAAAGGAGACUCUUAAGCUCCUCUCUCAACGACAGAGGGUAGAGAGACCUUAAGAUGGCUAUUGCAUUAAGAAAGUUCUUUUCACAAAUACCUUUCAUUUGCCCCAUUUGUUCUUUUAUAAUGUCAAAUUAAGGCAUAUAUUAUUAUUAAAUUCCAUUUAAUAAAUUAUUAUUAUUAAAUUCCAUUUAAUAAAUUAUUAUUAUUAAAUUCCAUUUAAUAAAUUCCAUUAAACUAUAGUUUAUUUAAUUUUUUUUAGCUUCAAAAUAUUCACCUAUUAGAGGCAGAAGAAAUUAGAAAUAAUUAUUCUUUACUAUUUUUUUGAAUGGGAGCAUUAUUUUACGAAUUUACUUUUGCAGUUCAGUAGGACACUAAUUUUUCAACAGAUUUAAUUUUUUAGUUCAUGAGAAAUAUUGUGCACUUCAAAUCUAUUUCUCCUGCAACUGGUUUUAUUUGGAAGCUGUAAAGGGUUAUAUAGCUUUCCAGCAGCAGCGUCUCUGCUAAGAGUGUGACUCGCUCCUCUCAAAGACAGUGUUGUGUUCUGCUAAUAGUAUGUUGGUUCUAAUUUGGUAAAUAAUGUCAAAUAGCAUCAAAGUUCAAUAUGAGGAUAUAGCAUAUGAAGCAUAAAUUCUUUCAAAUUGUAUUCUCUCCUGAUCCUUUCAGCAAAGUUUAACCCAUUGAAAUUUUGGAACCUAUUCUCUUUCAUGACAUUAAGGUAUCUGUCAUAUUUGAUAAGUAACUUUCCUGUUUUGAAGUACAAGCAAGUGACAAUACCUUUCAAGCUACUUAAUAUUCAGUAAUAGGAUAGGACAAUGAGCAUGUCUGAGACAAUGUGUGUUCCUGAAAAUAUCUUCAACAACUUAGUGCAUAAUCAGAAAAAGCCCAUUUCAUGGAUAUGGUCAUGUUAAGAUGCUCCAGUACCAUUCCUAUAUCUUCAAGAUACUCAAAAUCUUUCUUCUGAAAACACUUUAGUUUUCUAAAAUAUUUUAUUUAUUUAUUUGAGAGAGAGAGAGAGAGAGAAAGCAGGAGGAGCAGCAGGCUCCCUGAAGUGUAGGGAGCCCAAUGCAGGGCUUGAUCUCAGGACCCCAGGAUCAUGACCUGAGCCAAAGGCAGAUGCUUAACUGACUGAGCCUCCAGGUGCCCUGCUUAAAUUACUUUAAGCAAAAAUAAUUGUGCAUAUUAACACAUGAAAAAAGAUGAGAAUGACUAUAACUAACUUCUACUUUUAUUUUGUAAUUCUAAGCUUCAAAUCAUCUCAAAGUUACCAGGAAUAUGCAAUCUAAUAUUCAUUAUAUACAGUUGAUCCCUGAACAACAUACGGCUUAGGAGUGCCAACCUCCCAUGCAGUUGAAAAUCUGCAUAUAGGGCAGCCUGGGUGGCUCAGCGGUUUAGUGUCGCCUUCAGCCCAGGGCGUGAUCCUGGAGACCCGGGAUCGAGUCCCAUGUCGGGCUCCCAGUAUGGAGCCUGCUUCUCCCUCUGCCUGUGUCUCUGCCUCUCUGUGUGUCUCUCAUGAAUAAAUAAAAUCUUAAAAAAAAAAGAAAAUCUGCAUAUAACUUUUGACUACCUCCAAAUUUAACCACUAAUAGCCUACUGUUGGCCAGAGCCUUAUCAAUGGCAUAGAGUUGGUUAACACAUGUUUUAUAUGUUAUAUGAAUUACAUACUGUAUUUUUACAAUAAACUAAGGUAGAGAAAAGAAAAUGUUCUUAAGAAAAUUACAGGAAAAGAAGAUACAUUUACUGUACUGUAUUUAUUAAAAAAAAAUUUGUGUAUAAUUGGACCUAUGCGGUUCAAACCCCUAUUGUUCAAGAGUCAACUGUACUUAAAUUGGAAAACUUUACUUGAAAAAACAUACUGUUAAGAAAAUACUAUCCUGAAACAAACAAAAAAACCCCACAACAAAACAAAACAAAACAAAACAAAACCAAACAACAACAGCAACAAAAAAGAAAAUACAAUUCCAUCAUGGACUGGCUGUUUUCUUCCUACUUGUGAUCUUCUCCACUUGCCUCCCCUGCCCCUUACCCAACUUCUCCCAUUUACCUGACUAAAAUCAUAAGUCCUUUAAGGUUUAUUUCAAAUUGUUACCCAGUGAAGCCUAACUUGAGGACUCCAGCCUUGGUCAAAAUUUGCUUCCCGAGCAGUCAUGCACUUAGUAGCUGUAUCAUUGAUUCAGAUACAAUUACUGUAGAAUGGGUUACGUGUAGUUUAAUGCAGUAUUAUAUACCAUUUAAAAAUUUUUAGGGCAGUCAUAAUUUUCUCUCCAGUAAGUUUCUGAUAUGUCUGAAGACAAAUGGGUCUUGUCUGGUAUUGUUCUGGUAUUUUUUUGUUGAACAAUACAUUUUAUUCAUUUGUUCAACUGUCACCUAUCCAGUCAGUGCUCACGAUGAGCCAGAGACUUUGCUAAAUAUUGGCACACAAAGAUUUAUUUGCUAUUUAUUAAUUCAACAUAGUUUUGAGUGUCUAGCAUCUGCCAAAUUCUUGAGAUAUAGGUAUAAAGUAAAUUAAAUUUCUAGUUUUAUGUGCCUUCAAUCUUAGUAGAGGGGACAAAAUAAAAAAAUCUAUAUAUAUUAUCAAGUAGUGAUAAGGGCUGUGAAGAAGGUGAAACAUGAUAAAGCAAUAGGGGAUGAUAAAGUGUGGGUAUGGGGAUAUUUGAAGAUGGUGAGGAAGGUUCUCUCUGAGAGAUGACAUUUGAGCAGGAACCUGAGUGAAGUGAGGGGGUGAGCUAAGCAAAUAUCUGACAGGAGAGAGUUCUUGGCAAGGGAAGAGAAAGUUCAAGUGCCCAGAUGGAAGUGUUCUUGGCGUGUUCCAGAACAGCUAGAAGGUAAACUGGCCGAAAGCCCUAAGUGACAGGGAGGGCUCCCUGGAGGUGAAGUCAGAGAGGAGGCAGGGCCAGCUCAUAAAAGGCUCUAGAGGAUUUGAUUUUUUUUUUUUUUAAGAUUUUAUUUAUUUAUUUGAGAGGGAGAGUGAGAGCGAGUGAGCACAUGAGCUGGGGAAGAGGCAGAGGGAGAAGGAGAAACAGACUCCCCACUGAGCAGAGAGCCCAAUGAAGGGCUGGAUCCCAGGACCUUGGGAUCAUGGCCUGAGCUAAAGGCAGAUGCUCAACCAAGUGAACCACCCACACACCCAGGAUUUGAUUCUAUACAUGGCAGAAAGAUAUUGGAGGUUUUAAGUAAGGCACUGAUAUGGCCUGAUUUAUGAUGAAUAAGACAAAUGAAAAAGAUCUUGGAACUGCUCUAAAGAAACUUAAAAUCUGUUAUUCAAAGUUCUAUACAAACAUUCAUAGGCAUUCUUAUUAAACUAUGGAAUUAAAAAAAUAAAUUUACUAAAAUUUAAAAUAUUCCCACUAUGUGUAUGUUCUAUGUAGAGUGUGUGUGUGUAAGUGUACAUAUAUAUGGGUAAUUGUGGGAAGAGUCAAAUAGCAAAUUUAAGCAGAAAAUUGUAACCUCAAAAGUUAUAAAGAUGAGGAAUGUAGCAUUACUGAAAAUUCAAAUCCAAGAAAUGUAGUUUAUUCAUUUGAGAAAAAAACGCAGUGACUGUUUUUUUACUUCCAUAUUUUUGUAUCUAAAAAUAUCAAGAUAUGACUUAAAUAUUUUAUGCAAGAAUAUAUAUUACUGCUAUUUGAAUUGUAGGUCCCAAAGAAUAUUUGAUCAAUAUUUACUGCACAUGUCUGCUUCAAAAAAAGGGCAUAGUGAUUGGUUGUGAAGUGGAUCUGAAGAACUGUGAAAUAGAAACAUAAUUAUAUGAUCUUAAGGUACUAAAUAAUCAAAGGUCCUUUUUUUUUUUUCUGUCCAUAGAUGAGAUCUUAGCACUGUGACGAAGGGAUCUGGUUUGUAAUAUUAAUUUUGAUGCUAAUGUGAUAGGUGACUGAGCAAGACACAAUGAUGGUAACAGCAAAUGCUAAUUGAGUCCUCAUGUUGUGUCAGGCAUUCUGUGAACUGUGUGCUUUCUGCUGUUGUUUUCUUGCCAGAGGUCAGAACCAAAUGAGAGAUAAAACAAAACUGGUCAGUUGGAGAACCAAGUAUCACCUUUAUGACUAAUGAAGCUAUUAUCAGACGGCAUGGCAACAAUGGGCUUCCAAAUACUGAACCCUGGGAUAAAAUAGAUUUCUGCAUGCAGUCUUGAACCAUGCUGGUUAACUGUGAGAUUUUCCAUUAAAGGGCAUCCUGAGAUGUAUAGAACAGAGAAAAAAUUGAGUUUUCUAGGGGUUAUUAAUCCUAGGAAAAAAUAGAGUAAGAAUUUGGGCUAUGUCAUCAUAGACUUCUUCUAAAGCCAUAGCCAGAUGUAUUUAAGGAAAUUUCCUCUUCAUUGAAGUUAUGUGAAUGGAAAAGAACUGUUUUUCUUGGUAAUGAAUCUCAUUUAAUUCUCACAGAAACCCUAAAGAGUAAGUAUUAUUAUCACUGAAACAAAGGUACAGAAAAGUGAAGUGUGUUGGCAACGUCCCACAUGAAGCUGUGGUGGAGACAUCUUUGAACCCAGGCAGUCUGGCCCCAGACUUCACAUUCUCACCCACAUGCCCUCCUGCUUCUCUAAUCUUUUUGAGCUGAACUUUCUUAUCUGAAAAAUGACGGGGUUAGACUAGAAAAAUCUCUAAAAAUUCCUUUCGACUUUAAAAUGCUUUAAUAUGUCUUUUGGUUUAUUGUAGAAAUAUCUGGGUGUGUGAAAUAUUUGAAACUCCUCAGGCAAGGGAUAAUAUGGAACAAUAUUACAUACCACUUAAAACGUUAUUUUGAUGAAAAGCCACAGUAGGUAAUUGUAACCCAAUUCUCUCCUCAAUGUGGAAAACUUAACAGUUUAAAAAGGAACAGACAGAUGGAAUUUUGCUAACACGUCCAAGAAGGAAAUAUGAUUUCACAUGCAUAUUAUAUGCAAGUUUAUGAAUGCAGUCAUAGUGUCUGGAACCUAGGUAGGAAACUAUGAUGAAAAUCAGUGAAGUAAAAUAUCAAAAUAAAACACUGCAUGACAACUCCUAAUGGGUAGCAAUGCUGGCGCCUUUAAUAAAACCACUUGGGAGUAUUAACGUGAGACGUAAGUGGCUGAAGGGUUCUGAAUUUCCCCGGUGAUAUUCAUAUAUCAAAAUGAAUGUUAGCUGGCAAUAAUUCAAGAAGGGACAUGCUUAGCAUGCCACUGUUGAGAUGCCCAAAUUGUGAUCAGGGACAGUAAAUUGUGACAUUUUACUUUGCGUCAAAAUUAAGUAGACAACUUUGUUCAUAAUUUCCUAAGAGCUUGUUUGGAGCAAAUAUUUAGGCUUAUAAUCUCAAUUAAGGAUGGAAUGUGUGAUUUAGGUAACAAAAUCACCUUUGUAUAUUUGAAAGGAUAAAGGUAUUAUCGACAUGUUUCCAAUGAAACCCCUUUUGGUGUCUUCUGGGCAGUGGAGAAUUUACUCCACAUUUGAAUGCCCACUCUGGGCAUUUGGAAUAAUAUUUUUAAAAAUUACUUUAAAAUAAUAAGCUUUUAAAAGUGGCUUCAAACCAACAUAGGUUUUUUUUUUUUUAAAUAAAGAUUUUAUUUAUUUAUUUAGAAAAAGAGAGCGCAUGCACAAGUGAAGGGAGGGGCAGAGGGAGAGGGAGAGAGAGAGAAUCUCAAGCAGAUGCUCCAAGGAGCAUGGAGGCUGCCGCUGGCUUGAUCCCGGGAUUCUGAGAUCAUGACCUGAGCUGAAAUCAACGGUUAGAUGCUUUACCGGUUGAACCACCCAGGCCCCCCAAACCAUUAUAAGUUCUAAUCAUACAAUUAAUGUUCAAAUAACUUUAGUUUUUCUGUCAAAUUAAUUUGGUAGUUGGCAAGUAUCAAGUACUAUUAUUUAAUGCAAUAUGUUUAAAUGCUAGCUGAUAAGUUUUCUUCUACUUUUCCACCAAAAA
RNAcentral lists this long non-coding RNA (6903 nucleotides) under Canis lupus familiaris (dog). RNAcentral describes it as "lncRNA (ENSCAFG00000057071.1)". Lineage: Eukaryota; Metazoa; Chordata; Mammalia; Carnivora; Canidae. The record is from RNAcentral.